GUUCUUCCUCCCCCAUCUCGUCUCAUCUCCGGUCGCUGCAGAGGAGCCCCGUUUCGCGCCGCCACCAUGGUUGGCCUCCAGCGAGCAGCAGAGGACCUAGCCGCCGCGUCCGACCUCAACCGCCGCCCGAAACCCUAGCCCCUCCUUCCAACGGCAGGUCAAGCCAGCAGGAUCCCCUCCAAGAACAGCAUUUGAUGCGCCCGACUCAUCUCUGCUUGUGCACAACAAGGAAGGCCAUGGAGAUGCUGCUCCCUAUGUUCAGCGCGUGGACGGACGAUGCAGUGUUGGGGAUGACUCAUGGCUGCCUCCGUUUGUGCAGAUUGGGUACUCUGGAGCACAUGGGAGGAGGAGAAGGAUGGGAGGUGUGUAGAAUUCGGCGCCAAGGGAGACGAUCGAGAUGGUGGAGCAGAAUCCAGAGGACGAUGGGAG
Molecule: long non-coding RNA, 429 nt
Organism: Aegilops tauschii subsp. strangulata
Lineage: Eukaryota; Viridiplantae; Streptophyta; Magnoliopsida; Poales; Poaceae
Source: RefSeq, a predicted model, not a curated record